Molecule: long non-coding RNA, 205 nt
Filed under: Musa acuminata (dwarf banana)
Lineage: Eukaryota; Viridiplantae; Streptophyta; Magnoliopsida; Zingiberales; Musaceae
Description: long non-coding RNA (MACU_LNC011489)
Source: RNAcentral
CAGAGGAAUGGUUAGUUGACAGAGCCAGUAUAAAGUGGUAGUCCUGAGGGGUCUCAUAAGAGAAUCAUUAAUAGAGUUAUGCAAGAGUGAGAGUUAGUUCGGGUCUGCAAGAUCAGUUGAGUUGCCAGUUUCCAUAGGUAUAUGAGAUGCUCUAGUCCAUAGUCGAGAUAGUCAAGCUAGUCCAGUAGUGGGCGAGAAGGUAGUU